Molecule: long non-coding RNA, 1259 nt
Filed under: Ficedula albicollis (Collared flycatcher)
Lineage: Eukaryota; Metazoa; Chordata; Aves; Passeriformes; Muscicapidae
Description: lncRNA (ENSFALG00000027274.1)
Source: RNAcentral
GUGGGGACCCCAUAAAACGUCUCAAAGAGGUUUUGGGGUCACCGUGAGGGACCCUGAGUCACUUUGGGGUCUGUAGGACAAAGUGGGGACCCCAUAAAAUGUCACCCCAAAACCACCCUGGGGACCCGAAAACCAAAACCACCCCAGGGACCCCUCCCAGUAAAAACCAGUACAGCCCAGUGCCUCCCUGCUGGGUUCUGCGCCACAGUGGGACAUCCCAGUACACACCAGUAUGAACCAGUUUAAACCAGUGCAACAUCCUGGCUUUGAACUCCUGGAUCUGCGUUGCCUUGGGUCUGACCAGUACAAACCAGUACAGACCAGUAUGAACCACUGGGAACUCCUGGAUCUGCAUUGCCUUGGGCUUGACCAGUACAAACCAGUACAAACCAGUAUGAACCACUGGGAACUCCUGGAUCUGCGUUGCCUUGGGCUUGACCAGUACAAACCAGUAUGAACCAGUAUGGAGCUGGGAGCCCCACAUGCAUCGCCUUGUGCCGGACCAGUACAAACCAGUAUGGACCAGUACGGACCAGUACAAACCAGUACAAACCAGUACAAACCAGUGCAGAGCUUGCCCAGGAUCUCUUCACCCCAGUGGCCUUGUGUCCUCCCAGUACGGACCAGUACAGACCAGUAUGGACCGGUAGGGUGCCCCCAGUGCUGUGUUGAUGCCCAAUAGGCCUUGUCCCAGUAUGGACCAGUAUAAACCAGUAUAAACCAGUUCCUGCCCCCUGCCCUGGGUGCCUUCUCUCCUCGCCCCCCUUUAUUUAUUGCCCCUCCCCCCCUCACCUGGGGGUCCCGGGGGGGGGCUGGAACUGCCAAUAAACCAUGGCUGAUACUGGUGUGCUCCCAGUAUGGACUGGGAGGGACUGGGAGGGGCUGGGAGGGACUGGGAGCUCCCAGUAUGGACUGGGAGGGGGUGGGAGAGAACUGGGAGUUCCCAGUGUGGAAACUGGGAGGGACUGGGAAAGAACUGGGGGCUCCCAGUAUGGACUGGGAGGGACUGGGAGGGACUGGUGUGCUCCCAGUAUGGACUGGGAGGGAAUUGAGGGCUCCCAGUAUGGACUGGGAAGGGAUUGGGGUUUCCCAGUAUGGACUGGGCAGUUCCCAGUAUGAACUGGGAGGGCGUGGCCAGGGGCGGGGCCAGGACUGGGAUUUUCCCGCCCCCCCCCCCCCCCCCCCCCCCCCCCCCCCCCCCCCCCCCCCCCCCCCCCCCCCCCCCCCCCCCCCCCCCCCCCCCCCCCCCCCCCCCCCCC